Long non-coding RNA from Daphnia pulex (common water flea), 577 nucleotides. RefSeq lists it as uncharacterized. Lineage: Eukaryota; Metazoa; Arthropoda; Branchiopoda; Diplostraca; Daphniidae. The record is from RefSeq and is a predicted model, not a curated record. The transcript has 4 exons.
AACAAGUUGACUUAGCGCACAGUCACUUUCCAUCCAUUAGAUCCUCAUGCUGUCAAAAGCCUAAAACUCAUGUUUGAAGCACACAUAUAGUGGUUUACAAAUGUGUGGAGAUAAGGUAUUUUCCCAUGACUGCAACGACACAAACCACACUACGUCAAAUGCCUUACUGAAUCAUCAUCCAUAUGAUAAAGCAUCAGGAAAUUUAUCCCACACGAGGAGUAAUGCAGUUGGUUGCUGUAGUUCCAUUAUCACGGUUUUUCAUCAUGAACAUUUCAGUGUGCUUCUUACCAACGAUACCCACAGACAUCUUUGAGCCAAUGCUGGAUUUUGUCCAUCACAGAAGAGGGACUUAACCAACGUUCUGCUCCAUCCUUAUCUUCAAGACUCAUCCAGCUUCACUGCUUCAGUGCUUCUUAUGCUGCUAGUCCUGCUACACAACUUUUCGUGCUUCACUGGCGAGUUGGAUCACUUCCGUUGCUGUGACACACCUGCAGCCAUCACCACGGGAUUAUCGCCAAGUCAUGCAGAGAAGACGUCGAGAAGAUGGACACCAAAACUUCGCCGGUCCAAAAUGUCA